UGCCAGCAGCCGCGGUAAUACAGAGGGUGCAAACGUUGUUCGGAAUCACUGGGCAUAAAGCGCACGUAGGCGGUUCUGUAAGUGUGAAGUGAAAGCCCACGGCUCAACCGUGGAAUUGCUUCGCAUACUGCAGGACUCGAGGACGGUAGGGGAGAGCGGAACUCCUGGUGGAGCGGUGAAAUGCGUAGAUAUCAGGAGGAACACCGGUGGCGAAGGCGGCUCUCUGGGUCGAUAUUGACGCUGAGGCGCGAAGGCGUGGGGAGCGAACGGGAUUAGAUA
Molecule: ribosomal RNA, 279 nt
Filed under: uncultured bacterium
Lineage: Bacteria
Description: partial 16S ribosomal RNA
Rfam family: Bacterial small subunit ribosomal RNA
Source: RNAcentral